This 5614-nucleotide unclassified non-coding RNA is filed under the name Portunus trituberculatus (swimming crab). Its description in RNAcentral is "cSC1-like protein 2, transcript variant X2". The record is from RNAcentral. Lineage: Eukaryota; Metazoa; Arthropoda; Malacostraca; Decapoda; Portunidae.
GGCAAGGGGAGGGAAAUGAGAUAUUGGCGAAAGUGGUGUGGGGCAGGUAGGUGUCAGAGAGGAUCAGCUGGCAGGGUUUGUUUAUCGACGGGCGGAGGAGAGACAGGGGAGGUGAGCGCCAGCUGUCCUGCUCACACCACUCUUUACCUUCUUCUUCUUAAUUAUUCAGCCUCGGAGGUGAUGGGGACCCCAAUGGAGUUCUCCUUUGCUCAGACAACAAUUGCGCCUAACGAGACAGAUUUUGAGCUGAUUGAGCCACUGUGGCAACAAGACAAACACAGCUGUAACCAGUAUGUUGCUCAGAACAAAACAUCCUGGCUACACACUGGCUAUGAAGGAAUCCCAGAGAACUUGCUCAUUAACGUCCUGGCAUGGCUUUUGUUGCUGUCCCUAUUCACUGUGCUGAGGAAAAAGGCGUGGAACUAUGGGCGGCUGGCUCUGGUGCAGAAGUACGAGAGUCGAAUAAAGAACCUUGGAUUCAGUCAGUACAAUGUGUGGACGCAGCUAUUCUAUGGACAAGAGUCAGACACAGGGAAGAUGGCAGCAGAGGUGGACUCGGUCUCUUCACUGGAGUUCAACUUGCAGCUAGACAAAGGUUACUUCUCAUGGAUUCCAGCUCUUUUCAAAAUCAAAGAUGAACAGAUCCUGGCAAAGAGUGGAAGAGAUGCAGUGCAGUACUUGUCCUUCCAGCGGCACAUUGUUAUCUACCUGAUGAUUGUGUGCAUUAUCAGCAUCUCCAUUGUCCUGCCCAUCAACUUCCAAGGCACACUGGAGGGAGGAAAGAAGGAGUUUGGCCACACCACUAUGGCCAACCUCAACCCACAGUCAAGACUAAUGUGGAUCCAUGUUACCCUGGCUUUCCUCUUCUUGCCAUUGGGAAUAGUGUUCACCAGGAGGUUCUCUAAGAAGCUUGACUUGAAGGAGGUGACCACCAGUGCCUCCCGAACCCUCAUGAUAACACGAGUGCCGCGCAGAGCCUGUCACAAGGACACCAUUCUCAAGCACUUCCAGGAGGCUUACCCAGAUUUGGAGGUGCAAGAUGUGCAGUUUGCCUAUGACAUAAAGUCCCUGAUUGAGUAUGACAAAGAAAGGGAGGUGGCACGCAAUGCUCGGCUGUACUGUGAGGCUUACCUGAAGGAAACUAACAGGAGGCUGGACAUGCGGCCUUACAAGUGUGGUGUCAUCUGUGGCUGCUGUGACAUAUUUGGCUGCCCCACAGUUGAUGCUAUUGAGUUCUACAGUGAAGAGGAAAUGCGACUGAGUGGUGAAGUUGAGAAUGAGAAAGUGAAGGCGCUGCAGAGACCAACUGGUGUAGCUUUCCUAACCUUUGACAGUAUUGAGAAUGCCAACAAAGUCCUCCGUGACCACAAGAACAAGUGUGACUGUUUCCGCAACAUUCCCGCCUCCUCAGUCUCCAGUGAACUCAAACCCUACAACUGGUUCAUCCGAGUGGCUCCUUCACCAGAGGAUAUUUACUGGGCCAACUUGUCCGUCACCAACCGUCACUGGUGGUUGAAGGCAGUGAUCAUCAACAUCAUCCUCUUUGUGAUUCUCUUCUUCCUCACCACACCAGCUGUGGUGAUAAACAGCCUUGACCUCCUUCUUAUCCAGGGAAAGCUUUACACUAUGAGCCCACUGUUGUCUGAGUUCUUUCCGACCCUGCUGCUGUGGAUCAUGGCCGCCCUAAUGCCCGUCAUUGUGUCAUACUCAGACCAGUUCAUGAGUCAUUGGACGCGCUCUGUUCAGAACCACUCCAUCAUGAGGAAGACCUUCAUCUUCCUUCUCUUCAUGGUCAUCAUCUUACCCUCCCUCGGCCUCACCAGUGUUAAAGGUUUUGCGGAGAUGAUGUUCAGACCCCAGAAUGAAACGUUCCGCUGGGAAUGCAUCUUCUUACCUGACAAUGGCGCUUUCUUUAUCAACUAUGUCAUCACUUCAGCUUUUAUUGGCACUUCUCUGGAGCUGAUUCGCUUCCCCGAGCUUUUCAUGUACAUCCUGCGGCUUGGCCUGUCCCGGUCCCAGGCUGAGACGGCCAGUGUGAGGCAAGCCAUCUUGUACGAGUUCCCCUUUGGUGUGCAGUAUGCCUGGAUGAUGUUGAUCUUUGCCAUGACCAUCAUCUACUCUGUGUCCUGCCCUCUCAUCACUCCCUUCGGAACGCUCUACAUGAUAUUCAAGCAUCUUGUGGACAAAUACAAUAUCUACUUUGCGUAUGGAAGAUCUGUCAUCAGCAAGAAGAUCCACACUACUGCUAUUAACUUCGUGAUAGUGUCCAUAGUUUGUCUACAGCUAAGCCUCCUCUUCUUCUCCUUGCUGAGACAGGGGCUGAAAAAAGACCUCACUAUAUACAGCAUAGUACUCCUGAUCAUCACUUGCCUCGUGUUUGUCACUCACAACACACUGCACUGGUUCAAGGAGCUCAGUCCUGUGGAGUAUAAGGAAUUUGGCAGUGACCAACCAAACGGGGAGGUGUCUUCCGUGAGUGAAGAUGGACUGGAUCCCGAUGCCUCACCAACGGAAGUAGCAUGUCAGUUUGUACCGUCAGUGCUGCGAGACGCUCCCUCUGGGGUGGAGUCCAGCUAUUCCUUUAUUGGGACUGGCCAGCCGCCUCGCAGCUAUGGAACACAGCCACUGGAUGAUGACAGCAUCUUCCUAGGCAGUGAGGCCCCAAUGAGAGGAAGUGGAUCCCUUUACCAAGACUACUCCCAGCCCAAGACUGAGCCUUCCCAGUCCCGGAGCAAUACCCCAGAGCCUGCAGAUCCAUGCUGCCGUGGGUCUGCAGUGCUGGAAGGGACAGAUGAAUCAGGGCUGUCCAUUCAUGAGGCUGGUGAAGGGGAAAUUCAGCAGCAGCAGGAGCAGCAGGAAGACAAAUACAAUACACAAGAUCAGCAGUGCCUUUGGUCCUGGCGUCAGGCUGACCCAGGCCCCGGUUUGUCACUGCAGGUCCGGACAAUCAAUGCGGAGAUCAACACCCCGGCCCCUCAGCCCUGUCCCGGGGAGGAGGCAGCGGAGGAAGAGGAAGAGCUUUACACCCGUGGUUCCCCAACAGUAGUGACGGUGGACGGGACGGUCACCGUUCCAUUCAGUGGUGAUCCCAGUGGUGCCCUCCACAGCCAGAAGCACAGUCACCUGGCCUCAGACCAAAGUGCUCCUGCUACUAAUGUUUAGGUUGGUGUGUGUAACUACUCUUUAUAAUGAGUGCAUGGGAAGUGGUGAUGCUUGUUAAUGGGGUAGUGGGUAAUAGUAUUCCGUAAGCUUUAAGAGCUGCCUGAUUAAUGAGCAACCACAUUAGCUGCCAUUGACAGAGGGAGCUGUGCUAGAAAAAUCCAAAAAGGUUAUAAUCAUUAUAUGAUUACAAGCUUAGGUGUGUUCCUGAUUUUGUUCAGGGUAUUGUUGUAAAUUACAGUAAGAAAAGCUGGCUUAUGAAUUUUCACCUUGUCAUAAAAGUAGAAGUAGUGUUUCUUGUCACGUAACCACUCGGAUGACAUACUGUAGUGUGAAACUUAAAUCUAACUAACAAGUAGCAUAGAGGGAUUGAUUAGUGACCAUCAGAGGUUUGGUGAUAAAGUGGCAUCGGUGAGAUCUCAUUAAUUAACCUGAAGGAAUCUCAAAUAGGAUUUGUUAUAUUAAUGUUUCAGAGAAAAAAAGAUUGCCGUGAGGCUCGAGUCCCUGAAUUAAACCUUUAUGCUUCAUAGAAUGCACUAAGAGAAAGACAGGAUUCCACUUAGCUUACUCAUUAAUGACCCCAUAAGAAUAUAUGUGUGCAAAGCAAGGCCACGGAUUGCAAGCCACUGAAAUAAAGCCACCACUGUCAUGGCGGGCAUGGAGUGGCAGGAUCAGGUCCACCAGGUGUGUGGCUGAGGUACAGCGGACCGACGGUGUGGAGCUCAGGCACAGGAUCACACCACCAGUGAAGGGUACGAUUCUUCAAGCAACAGUUUCCAAUAUUUUUGUUACCAAGUAGCACAUCUGAAGAGUAUCCUGGAUGAUCUACAAGCCAUGUUAAAUAUGUAUAUGUAACAUGGCCUGUAAAAGACUCCAUCACAUACUGGUAGUUUGACAGGUUUUGUAUUUUGUAUUUUUGUAGAAUGUGUAGCAGUGUAUAUUUGGUUUUUGGCGAGGUAAUGUAUGCCUGCUUUAUUUAUUGCAAAUAGAACGUAGUGGGGAAUGAUAAGCAAGCACAAGUGAGGGGGUAUUCAACUAUGUCAGCCAGAUAUAGAUCAUUGCAGUCAUUAACUUUAUUAUACUUAAAUCCUUAGCACACCUUCCUGUAUGUGAUAAGACACUGUAGCUCCUGCUUGCACGUUUUUAACCAAAGCUGAGAACCAAAUUGUAAAAUUUACUGAGGUAAGAUAUUGAGAUGCAUGCUAUCAUUGAAAAAAUAAGAAAAGAAUACUGGCCAUUAUUUUUGUACACAAAAAUAUUUUCUUGACCAACCUUCAGCAGAGAUAUUGAAAUUAAGGAGAAGAAACAAGCAAGGUAUGGUCUUUUGGGUGAUGUUAGUCUUAGCCAAAAUCCCUAAUAUAUAACUUUGAUGAAGCUAGGAAGAAUUACAUAACUCGUAGCAUAGACCUCCCUGACAUGUAGCCUUUAUGAAACAACUUACUAUUGAAGAUUGCCUUUGGGUUUUCAGAUUCAAGGUGUCUCCAUGAGUGUAGUGUAUUCCUUAAUAACCUGAAGCCACAUGUAAUAUUCCAGCAUGUAGGGAACUUGCAUACUGAAGCACUGCUGAUGUCUCUUUAAUGUUACAGGGUUUUGUAAAAUUAUAUAUGAGUUUGCUGACUCGCACUCAACAAUGCAGAUGUUGUUCUUAAUUGUGCUCAUAUUUGUAUGUUUACUUUGUCCGUUAUUGAUGUUGUGUAUGUUGAACAAUAAUUUAAGAAUGACUGAGUUAUGAUUUUUAAAUGACCAGUUUCCUUUCAAAAUUAUAUACAGAUUUAUAAUCAGGUUUAUUGUAAUAUAAAACUUUAGAUUUUCUUGAUUGAUACAUAUUUUUUUAGGAUAUAAUGUAUAGAGUUCAUGGAACCUGUGGUAAUGUUAAUAGUGAUUCUUUUUUAUUGAUUCUUCGUCCUUUGUACAUACAAAUAUAUUACUUGCAUAUUCAGAUUAUGUUUGAUAGUACGUAUUUCAAAGAGCUCAUGCAUAGGUGUCUGUUGUGCCAUUUUACUGUACUGUAUAGAUACAUAACUUAUUAAUGUCUAUAUAAAUCAGUCAAUACUGGCUUAUUACAGUCAUAUGACCAUGUAGCUUCUCCAGAUAACUAGUGAGGAUCCCUCCUUUGAUGAGAGCCAGCAUUAUAAAGCUGCAUACAACUGCAUGAUUGUGUUGGCGCCCCAGUGCACUGCAGGUAGUGAGUCAGGCAGUAGUGAUGUAGGAUUGGUUUCCUGCCGCCUGGCACUGCACAGCAACACACCCUGGGUCACAUUUCUUAUUUUUCCAUUGCUGCACAAGGCAGGGCACUGCCAGUGGUAACUCAUUUGAUGCCUUGCAAUAUUUCUUGGUCAGAUUCUGUCACACACACACACACACACACACACACACACACACACACACACACACACACACACACACACACACACACACACACACACACACACACACACACACACACACACACACA